RNAcentral lists this ribosomal RNA (273 nucleotides) under uncultured bacterium. Its description in RNAcentral is "partial 16S ribosomal RNA". It matches the Rfam family "Bacterial small subunit ribosomal RNA", at positions 524 to 796 of the family's 1533-position model. The record is from RNAcentral.
GACGAAGGGGGCAAGCGUUGUUCGGAAUUACUGGGCGUAAAGGGCGCGUAGGCGGCCGGAUAAGUCAGGUGUGAAAGCCCUGGGCUCAACCUGGGAAUGGCACUUGAUACUGUUUGGCUAGAGAGCGGGAGAGGAUGGUGGAAUUCCCAGUGUAGAGGUGAAAUUCGUAGAUAUUGGGAAGAACACCGGUGGCGAAGGCGGCCAUCUGGACCGUAUCUGACGCUGAGGCGCGAAAGCGUGGGGAGCAAACAGGAUUAGAAACCCCCGUAGUCC